CAAGCCAGUUAUUCCCUUCCUAUAAUUAACGCUCUGUUUUUAUUUGUGAGAUUUAUUUUCCUUAAUUACGACACAAAUACGAUGAUCACUUCUGAUUUCAUUUUGUGCCGAUUCUGCAGCAUACGGAUCAUAGUAUCGUUGCUUCCAAUAAGUUGAACAAUUGUAGUUCUUCAUUCCCGUCGUGAGUUUGAGUAGCAGUUCAUUGUUAAUUCUUUCAUAUCUUCCAGUGUUAUUAACGAUUGAAGAAGUUUUUGUUGUACCUGAAUGUUCUGAAGAACUAAAGUCGGUCGUUGGUCGUUGUUUUUAAUCACUAGAUUUUGAGAAUGCAUUUUGUGAUGUGCAUGCCUGCAUCGUGGGUUUUGACAUUCGUAAACAAGACAUUAAAAAGGUUGAUGGGAAUGAGAAGGAGAAGCGUAAGGGCUAGAGGAAAUGUUGAUUUAUAUUAGUUUGCUUUUCAGACUUGGUGUUUUUUAAAUUUCGUUUAAAGCAUACAUUAUUCAAUCGUUAAAUUUUACAGUACAUUA
Molecule: long non-coding RNA, 524 nt
Organism: Salvia splendens (bonfire salvia)
Lineage: Eukaryota; Viridiplantae; Streptophyta; Magnoliopsida; Lamiales; Lamiaceae
Exons: 2
Source: RefSeq, a predicted model, not a curated record